AUUGAACGCUGGCGGCAUGCCUUACACAUGCAAGUCGAGCGGCAGCGCGGGGGCAACCCUGGCGGCGAGCGGCGGACGGGUGAGUAAUACAUCGGAACGUGUCCUUUCGUGGGGGAUAACCAGUCGAAAGCCUGGCUAAUACCGCAUGAGAUCCCACGAGGAAAGCGGGGGACAGCAAGGCCUCGCGCGCUUUGAGCGGCCGAUGUCGGAUUAGCUAGUUGGCGGGGUAAAAGCCCACCAAGGCGACGAUCCGUAGCUGGUUUGAGAGAACGACCAGCCACACUGGGACUGAGACACGGCCCAGACUCCUACGGGAGGCAGCAGUGGGGAAUUUUGGACAAUGGGGGCAACCCUGAUCCAGCCAUGCCGCGUGUGUGAAGAAGGCCUUCGGGUUGUAAAGCACUUUCGGCCGGAACGAAAUCGCGCGGAUUAAUAACCCGCGUGGAUGACGGUACCGGAAGAAGAAGCACCGGCUAACUACGUGCCAGCCGCCGCAGUAA
This 500-nucleotide ribosomal RNA is filed under the name uncultured bacterium. Its description in RNAcentral is "partial 16S ribosomal RNA". It matches the Rfam family "Bacterial small subunit ribosomal RNA", at positions 29 to 523 of the family's 1533-position model. The record is from RNAcentral.